This 22-nucleotide microRNA is filed under the name Drosophila virilis. RNAcentral describes it as "dvi-miR-9549-5p". Lineage: Eukaryota; Metazoa; Arthropoda; Insecta; Diptera; Drosophilidae. The record is from miRBase by way of RNAcentral.
CAGUGUUAGCACAAGUCCUUUG